RNAcentral lists this ribosomal RNA (857 nucleotides) under Pseudevernia intensa. Its description in RNAcentral is "partial small subunit ribosomal RNA". It matches the Rfam family "Bacterial small subunit ribosomal RNA", at positions 346 to 1187 of the family's 1533-position model. Lineage: Eukaryota; Fungi; Ascomycota; Lecanoromycetes; Lecanorales; Parmeliaceae. The record is from RNAcentral.
GACCAGCAACUUGGAGGAAUGUAUAGCAAUAGCUGCAUGCAUCAUUGCAAAAAUGAUGCAGGAUCGACUAUGUCGAAUAAAAUUCUAGGUAGAAUUAUGAUAAUGACAUUGUCUGCCUAUGUGUCUUGACCAAAUUACGUGCCAGCAGUCGCGGUAAUACGUAGAAGACUAGUGUUAUUCAUGUUUAAUCGGUUUAAAGGGUACCUAGACGGCAAAUCAAGCCUAAAUUUAAGUAAAAUGAAGGGACUAAUUUGCUAGAGUUACUUAUGAGGGGGUAUUAAAGUACUGCUGGUGUAGAGAUGAAAUUCUGUCAUACCUCUUUUCAAUAGAAAAAUAAUGGCACAGGUAUAGGCGAAAGCAUCCCCUUAUGUGAUAACUGACGUUGAGGGACGAAGGCUUUUUGUAGCGAACAGGAUUAGAUACCCUAGUAGUCAAAGCAGAAAAUGAUGAAUGUCAUAGAUUAGAUAUACAAGUUUAUUCUAUAAAUGAAAGUGUAAGCAUUCCACCUCAAGAGUAAUUUGGCAACAUUGGAACUGAAAUCAUUAGACCGUUUCUGAAACCAGUAGUGAAGUAUGUUGUUUAAUUUGAUGAUCCGCAAAAAACCUUACCACAAUUUGAAUAUUUAUAUUUUUUUUUUAUUGUUUUCUUAUUAAUUUUCUUCUAAUAAUAACAACAAACAAAAAAAAAGGAAAAAAAUUAAUAAAGAGGCAAUAAUAUAUAUUUACAAGCGUUGCACGGCUGUCUUCAGUUAAUGUCGCGAGACUUUGGUUAGUUCCAUUAAAUUAACGUAAACCCUUACUUUAUUUUUAUAUAAAGUAGUUCUCCACUAUAUUGGAUAAGAUAACAGGACUAAGACA